CCUACGGGAGGCAGCAGUGAGGAAUAUUGGUCAAUGGACGAGAGUCUGAACCAGCAAAGUAGCGUGAGCGAUGACUGCCCUAUGGGUUGUAAACUUCUUUUAUAUGGGAGUAAAAUGUUCCACGUGUGGGGUUUUGUAUGUACCAUAUGAAUAAGGAUCGGCUAACUCCGUGCCAGCAGCCGCGGUAAUACGGAGGAUCCGAGCGUUAUCCGGAUUUAUUGGGUUUAAAGGGAGCGUAGGUGGAUUGUUAAGUCAGUUGGGAAAGUUUGCGGCUCAAACGGAAAAUUGCAGUUGAAACUGGGAGUCUUGAGUACAGUAGAGGUGAGCGGAAUUCGUGGUGUAGCGGUGAAAUGCGUAGAUAUCACGAAGAACACCGAUUGCGAAGGCAGCUCACUGGACUGUAACUGACACUGAGGCUCGAAAGUGUGGGUAUCAAACAGGAUUAGAUACCCUGGUAGUC
RNAcentral lists this ribosomal RNA (460 nucleotides) under uncultured bacterium. Its description in RNAcentral is "partial 16S ribosomal RNA". It matches the Rfam family "Bacterial small subunit ribosomal RNA", at positions 338 to 795 of the family's 1533-position model. The record is from RNAcentral.